Molecule: long non-coding RNA, 1209 nt
Organism: Gopherus flavomarginatus (Mexican gopher tortoise)
Lineage: Eukaryota; Metazoa; Chordata; Testudines; Testudinidae
Exons: 2
Source: RefSeq, a predicted model, not a curated record
UGCUGUGAAGCUUGUGUUUGGGACACAGGAAGUAGAAGCCACUUGGCAAAGGGAAUAUAAAGUGCAGCUGCAUCAUCUCCAUUUUGUCUUCAAUCCCCCUUCCUACCUCUAGAGCAACUUCUCUACAAACUGAAGGCUUGAACAAAGGACUGAAUAAUGUGGAUGUGUACCAGGGAGCCUUUCAAGCCAGAAACUCACCAAUACUGCUAAGAACCAGAUGUAUAGAUUUCUGAAUGUGUCUGACUGCUUUCCCAUUUAACAACUCCCUUUUUCUUUCUUUCUUUUAUAAUAAACCUUUAGUUUAGAUGCUUUCUUGCUUAUAAACCUUUAGGUGCUAAGGAUUGGCUGGCAUCAUAGUAUUUUGGGUAAGAUCCAAACCCAUAAUGACCUGGUAAUGUGGCUGACUCUGGGGUCAGAAGAACACUUUGUUUAUGUGAGCAGAGUUUUUAAAUAACCUCUCAUUGUGCUGGACCUAGGUGCUGAUUGGGAGUCAGAGAACUAGAAUGCAAUAAAGGGGGCCGUGUGAUUUCUUUUUUCAAUUUCUCGAUAACCAGUGUGGGGGAUCAGAAGCACAGUUUGUGACUGGUUGGUGAGUUUAACUUCCGUGUUAACCACCAGUUUGGGGAGCCUCUGCUCUCCUUUUUUCAGCCUGCCCUGGUCUUGGCAUUUUCAGUGAGGACUAGCCCAGGCACACCAGGUCUCACUAAGUAUUAAAGUUAAAUUAAUAGACUGUUUUUUUAUGACAAAGUUUGAUGAAAUCAACAGAACUCCUUUGUCUUCUUUCAUCUGAGCAGGUUUUCCAGUUUCCAAACCUGAUGUGAUCGCCCAGCUGGAACAAGGGGAAGAGCCAUGGGUCUCAGACCUGCAAGGUUCAGAGGGAAAACAGACCCUGAGAUCUCCCUGCAGAGCAGGUGAUGCAAUGACAUAUGAGAAAGAGGAGCAGAAUUCUCAGCAGAAAAAUGCUCAGCAACUGGAUAAACACAGAGCAUUAUUGCAAAGCAAAAAUCAAUGUGUCCAGGAGUCAUGAGAAGGAAAAAUCCUGUGAGAUUCAGCACAGACCAGAAAGAGAGCAAGGAAACCAGCCAAGGGAGAAAUUGGGUAAACAUAUUUCCUCUCAGGGAACUCAGAAGGACCUCAAGGAAACCACAACAAAGCAGGAAAUCAUCAUUGGAAAGAGAAAAAAUACAUGCACAGAGUGUGGAAAAAACA